UACAGAGGUCUCAAGCGUUGUUCGGAUUCAUUGGGCGUAAAGGGUGCGUAGGCGGCGCGGUAAGUCGGGAGUGAAAUCUCGGAGCUUAACUCCGAAACUGCAUUCGAUACUGCCGUGCUUGAGGACUGGAGAGGAGACUGGAAUUUACGGUGUAGCGGUGAAAUGCGUAGAUAUCGUAAGGAAGACCAGUGGCGAAGGCGGGUCUCUGGACAGUUCCUGACGCUGAGGCACGAAGGUCAGGGGAGCAAACGGG
Molecule: ribosomal RNA, 253 nt
Filed under: uncultured bacterium
Lineage: Bacteria
Description: partial 16S ribosomal RNA
Rfam family: Bacterial small subunit ribosomal RNA
Source: RNAcentral